AUUGAACGCUGGCGGCAUGCUUUACACAUGCAAGUCGAACGGUAACAGGCCUUCGGGUGCUGACGAGUGGCGAACGGGUGAGUAAUGCAUCGGAACGUACCCAGAGGUGGGGGAUAACGCAGCGAAAGCUGUGCUAAUACCGCAUGUGAUCUGAGGAUGAAAGCGGGGGACCGAGCAGCAAUGUUUGGCCUCGCGCCUUUGGAGCGGCCGAUGUCGGAUUAGCUAGUUGGUGGGGUGAAGGCCUACCAAGGCGACGAUCCGUAGCUGGUCUGAGAGGACGACCAGCCACACUGGGACUGAGACACGGCCCAGACUCCUACGGGAGGCAGCAGUGGGGAAUUUUGGACAAUGGGCGCAAGCCUGAUCCAGUAAUGCCGCGUGCGGGAAGAAGGCCUUCGGGUUGUAAACCGCUCUUGGCAGGAACGAAACGGUGUCCGCUAAUACCGGGCGCUAAUGACGGUACCUGCAGAAUAAGCACCGGCUAACUACGUG
RNAcentral lists this ribosomal RNA (492 nucleotides) under uncultured bacterium. RNAcentral's name for it is "partial 16S ribosomal RNA". It matches the Rfam family "Bacterial small subunit ribosomal RNA", at positions 29 to 507 of the family's 1533-position model. The record is from RNAcentral.